UACGAAGGGGGCUAGCGUUGUUCGGAUUUACUGGGCGUAAAGCGCACGUAGGCGGAUCGUUAAGUCAGGGGUGAAAUCCUGGAGCUCAACUCCAGAACUGCCUUUGAUACUGGCGAUCUUGAGUCCGGAAGAGGUGAGUGGAACUCCUAGUGUAGAGGUGGAAUUCGUAGAUAUUAGGAAGAACACCAGUGGCGAAGGCGGCUGACUGGUCCGGUUCUGACGCUGAGGCGCGAAAGCGUGGGGAGCAAACAGG
Molecule: ribosomal RNA, 253 nt
Filed under: uncultured bacterium
Lineage: Bacteria
Description: partial 16S ribosomal RNA
Rfam family: Bacterial small subunit ribosomal RNA
Source: RNAcentral